AUUGAACGCUGGCGGCGUGCCUAACACAUGCAAGUCGAGCGGUAACAGGUGUAGCAAUACAUGCUGACGAGCGGCGAACGGGUGAGUAAUGCUUCGGAAUCUGCCCAUGUAGUGGGGAAUAACCAGCCGAAAGGUUGGCUAAUACCGCAUACGACCCUUGCCCACAAGGCAAAGGUGAAAGCAGGGGAUCGCAAGACCUUGCGCUAUUGGAUGAGCCGAAGUCGGAUUAGCUAGUUGGUAGGGUAACGGCCUACCAAGGCGACGAUCCGUAGCUGGUCUGAGAGGACGACCAGCCACACUGGGACUGAGACACGGCCCAGACUCCUACGGGAGGCAGCAGUGGGGAAUAUUGGACAAUGGGGGCAACCCUGAUCCAGCGACGCCGCGUGUGUGAAGAAGGCCUGCGGGUUGUAAAGCACUUUUAGUGGGGAUGAAAAGC
Molecule: ribosomal RNA, 439 nt
Filed under: uncultured bacterium
Lineage: Bacteria
Description: bacterial SSU rRNA
Rfam family: Bacterial small subunit ribosomal RNA
Source: RNAcentral